AUGGUUCAGCUGGCCAAUGAUCUGAGAGGUGAAUUACGCGCCCUGCACUCAACCCAGGCGCAGGUCGGCGACAGGCGCCCUCCUUGUCCCGUCAUCAUCGGCAAGGUCCGCGACCAGACGCGUAACGUCAACAACGGCGAGUAUGACCCUGACCACGUCGCCAUCGGCCCGUACAACUACCCUCGGCCCCAGAGCAAGAGCCCGCAGCUCGCCAAGGAGCACGACAAGCUGAUGAGCCUGGACAAGGUGGUCACGGCUGCCAAGGCUCUGAGACCCGGCAUGACGGUGGAGGUGGACGUCUACGUCAACGAGCUCAGAUGCCUCGAGAAAUCUGUGAGGGACUGCUACGGCAACGACUUUGAUGACAUGACGAGCGAGCAAUUCGUGCGCAUGCUCCUCCUCGACGGCUGCUACAUACUCUCCCGCCUCGUCGGCCUUCAACUCGGAGCACAACCCAUGGACGAUGCGGUGGGGACUGCAAAUGCAGGCGUCCUGUCAGCGAACAGGGCCGAGGCGCUGGCCGUGGUCCGUGAUGUGUUCUACCUUGCAGAGAACCAGAUACCUUUUUUUGUCCUUGAGAAGAUUGGGGAGCUGACGGGUUUGGACCAGUGGCGUAGCCAGCCCAAUACACCAGGGUGGGUGGUCCAUGGACCACCCUGGCCACCCCCUAGCUACGCCACUGGUUUGGACGGUAACAACCGUGUGAUUACAGAGACUGCCGAGUAUGCUCUCGAUCUCAUGAGGAGACAAAAGUAUUCAGAGGCAGCGCCGGCCGUGGUGCCGACGGUGCCAGGCAAUCUUCUCCAUCUUCUUCAUAUGCACUUGAAGCCUGUGGCACCUACGAUCUCUUCUGCUACAACGGCCAACGGCGCCAACCCGGAGCCCGUGCGCCGGUGGCGCUCAGCGACAGAAUACUACUUCGCCGGGGUGAUGUUCAAGCGUCGAGACAUGAGCGAGAACGGGCUCACGCGGUGCAUCCUCGACGUGAAGCUGAGCAGCGGCAGUGGCACGCUGGAGGUCCCCUGCUUGGACAUCGACGCCGAGACAUGGCGCCUGCUGCGCAACUUGAUGGAGCUGGAGCAGCGGAACCGGGAGACGGUGGGGAGCCACGUCACAGCGUACUGUGUGUUCAUGUCCCAGGUGGCUUGCACCACAAAGGACGUGGAGCUGUUGACGAAGAGAGGCAUCAUCGUGCAUGGCCAUGGCAACAAUGAUGAGGUGGCCAAAUGCUUCGCCGACCUCUGCAAGGGUAUUAUGUUUGACCCUAACGACGCCCAUCACAACUAUCUGCGGGAGACAUGCUGCAAGCUGGAGAAGCGUUUCCUGAGCAACCCGCGGAGGUGGAUGGCGUGGCUGAGGCAGAAGUAUUUCAACAACCCAUGGCUUGCCGUCGGGCUCCUAGCGGCUGUCAUUGGACUAGUUUGUGGUUUCGUUCAGGCGGUCUACUCUGUUUUGAGUUACAAACAGGGAUGA
Molecule: ribosomal RNA, 1473 nt
Filed under: Triticum aestivum (bread wheat)
Lineage: Eukaryota; Viridiplantae; Streptophyta; Magnoliopsida; Poales; Poaceae
Description: partial small subunit ribosomal RNA
Source: RNAcentral